AAGGUUCGGGUCUGUGGUUGAAAACCGAUGCCAGUCGCAGGCAAAACGGUCCACGUAAGCUGGGGAAAUUCCCGGUGAGCACGGUGCGGUUUAGAAGUAAGUCCGGCCGGACGACAGUCCGAGAGAGCGCAGUGGGGGCCAGUAAAGGCUAUGAGCAAAGCUCCUGCCGGCGAGUGUGGGGUCAAAAACCAGGUCAGCCAAUCCUU
This 206-nucleotide non-coding RNA is filed under the name unclassified sequences. RNAcentral describes it as "raiA RNA". It matches the Rfam family "raiA RNA". The record is from Rfam by way of RNAcentral.